This 460-nucleotide ribosomal RNA is filed under the name uncultured bacterium. RNAcentral describes it as "partial 16S ribosomal RNA". It matches the Rfam family "Bacterial small subunit ribosomal RNA", at positions 338 to 795 of the family's 1533-position model. The record is from RNAcentral.
CCUACGGUGAGCAGCAGUGAGGAAUAUUGGUCAAUGGGCGCGAGCCUGAACCAGCCAAGUAGCGUGAAGGAUGACUGCCCUACGGGUUGUAAACUUCUUUUAUAAAGGAAUAAAGUGAGGCACGUGUGCCUUUUUGUAUGUACUUUAUGAAUAAGGAUAGGCUAACUCCGUGCCAGCAGCCGCGGUAAUACGGAGGAUCCGAGAGUUAUCCGGCUUUAUUGGGUUUAAAGGGAGCGUCGAUGGGUUGUUAAGUUAGUUGUGAAAGUUUGCGGCUCAAACGUAAAAUUGCAAUUGAUACUGGCAGUCUUGAGUACAGUAGAGGUAGGCGGAAUUCGUGGUGUAGCGGUGAAAUGCUUAGAUAUCACGAAGAACUCCGAGUGCGAAGGCAGCUUACUAAACUGCCACUGACAUUGAUGCUCGAAAGGGUGGGUAUCAAACAGGAUUAGAUACCCCAGUAGUC